UUCUACGGCCACACCUAGGCGAAAACACCAGUUCCCGUCCGAACACUGCAGUUAAGUGAAAAUGUCUGAGGGUCUCCGUCUCGUUCAUACUAUGGUUGGAGACAACAUGGGAAUUCGGGGUGUUGCUGGCU
RNAcentral lists this ribosomal RNA (131 nucleotides) under Schizosaccharomyces cryophilus OY26. The record is from RNAcentral. Lineage: Eukaryota; Fungi; Ascomycota; Schizosaccharomycetes; Schizosaccharomycetales; Schizosaccharomycetaceae.